Molecule: ribosomal RNA, 253 nt
Filed under: uncultured bacterium
Lineage: Bacteria
Description: partial 16S ribosomal RNA
Rfam family: Bacterial small subunit ribosomal RNA
Source: RNAcentral
UACGGAGGGUGCAAGCGUUAUCCGGAUUCACUGGGUUUAAAGGGUGCGUAGGUGGGCAGGUAAGUCAGUGGUGAAAUCUCCGGGCUUAACCCGGAAACUGCCAUUGAUACUAUCUGUCUUGAAUACCGUGGAUGUGAGCGGAAUAUGUCAUGUAGCGGUGAAAUGCUUAGGUAUGUCAUAGAACACCGAUCGCGAAGGCAGUCCGCCAAACCAUUACUGACACUGAAACACGAAAGUGCGGGGAUCAAACAGG